RNAcentral lists this ribosomal RNA (253 nucleotides) under uncultured prokaryote. RNAcentral describes it as "partial 16S ribosomal RNA". It matches the Rfam family "Bacterial small subunit ribosomal RNA", at positions 524 to 776 of the family's 1533-position model. The record is from RNAcentral.
UACAGAGGGUGCGAGCGUUGUCCGGAAUCACUGGGCGUAAAGGGCGCGUAGGCGGCCGGGUAAGUAGGGGGUGAAAUCUCAUGGCUCAACUGUGAGGCUGCCUUCUAGACUGCCUGGCUCGAGCAUGGUAGAGGCUGGUGGAAUUCCCGGUGUAGCGGUGGAAUGCGUAGAGAUCGGGAAGAACAUCGGUGGCGAAGGCGGCCAGCUGGGCCAUUGCUGACGCUGAUGCGCGAAAGCGUGGGGAGCAAACAGG